RNAcentral lists this microRNA (23 nucleotides) under Caenorhabditis brenneri. Lineage: Eukaryota; Metazoa; Nematoda; Chromadorea; Rhabditida; Rhabditidae. The record is from RNAcentral.
AAUGACAAUUAAUCGCAAUUGGA